RNAcentral lists this ribosomal RNA (492 nucleotides) under uncultured bacterium. RNAcentral's name for it is "partial 16S ribosomal RNA". It matches the Rfam family "Bacterial small subunit ribosomal RNA", at positions 29 to 507 of the family's 1533-position model. The record is from RNAcentral.
AGUGAACGCUGGCGGUAGGCCUAACACAUGCAAGUCGAACGGCAGCACCGUAAGAGCUUGCUCUUACGGGUGGCGAGUGUCGGACGGGUGAGGAAUACAUCGGAAUCUACUUUUUCGUGGGGGCUAACGUCGGGAAACUUACGCUAAUACCGCAUACGACCUACGGGUGAAAGCAGGGGAUCUUCGGACCUUGCGCGAUUGAAUGAGCCGAUGUCGGAUUAGCUAGUUGGCGGGGUAAAGGCCCACCAAGGCGACGAUCCGUAGCUGGUCUGAGAGGAUGAUCAGCCACACGGGAACUGAGACACGGUCCAGACUCCUACGGGAGGCAGCAGUGGGGAAUAUUGGACAAUGGGCGCAAGCCUGAUCCAGCCAUACCGCGUGGGUGAAGAAGGCCUUCGGGUUGUAAAGCCCUUUUGUUGGGAAAGAAAAGCAGCAGGUUAAUACCCCGCUGUUCUGACGGUACCCAAAGAAGAAGCACCGGCUAACUUCGUG